UCAGAAACCUUUCGUAAUCCCGUCGUAAGCCGCCGGCUGGAAAUCGCCUCCGCCGGCGGCGAUGCUCCAAACCACCCCAAAUUUACACCCCAUGACCCUCUUCUCGUCCCCUUUCCAUAUCCUUAGCUAAUUUCCUUCAAAUCCAUACCAGUUCCUUUGAAUCUUGAAGCAAAUGAUUUCGACCAAAACCCAAAGUUACCCAAUAUUGUCCAAAUUCACACCCUAGAACCGCCUUGUUCUCCUCUUUCAUGCCCCCAAACCUCAUCCUUCAAAUCUGACCGAAACUGUUUGAAUAUUAAAUUGAAUUUCGGACCAAAACCCUAGUUUUCCCAAACCUCGCCAAAUUGAUAGUGUGUGACCUCGUCAUCUCCUUUAUGACGAAUUCCUCACCGGUAGCACUCGAAUAACACGGGAGAUGGUUGAAUUUUGAAUUUGAGAAGCGGCUUGACUAUGGAAUUUAUACCAGUGAGUUCUUUCUUUCUUUUUGUGUGUGUUUUCUCCCAUGUCUGUAUUGCUUCAUGAUUAGGUAAUUAGUUCUUUUCAUUUUGUUAUAAUUUCGAGUAAUUAAUCUAGGAUUUGUCUGCACCUUCGAG
Molecule: long non-coding RNA, 593 nt
Filed under: Nicotiana benthamiana
Lineage: Eukaryota; Viridiplantae; Streptophyta; Magnoliopsida; Solanales; Solanaceae
Description: long non-coding RNA (NBEN_LNC032672)
Source: RNAcentral